CAAGUGAGGUCAGCCUAGUGGCCUUCUCUAACGCUGGUAUCUAAUGUAAGAGGCAGACCACACACAGUUCCCUGAACAGACAAUAUGCUCUCAGGCUUUGAAAAAUGGGAAUAAAAUAUGCUAAGAACAGAAGGUAUAAUGGGGAAGGGCUCAGAAAGGCAGGAUUUUUUUUCUUUAACAAAUGUUUCAUCUCACUUUCUUUAAUCCAUCUGAAAUAGACUAUCUCCCUUCUGUCUCUGACACCAGGAUUUUUUCUGCUCUAUCCUGAGGCAUGCCUGUCUGUCUCAAUGCCCCCACCCCUCUCCACACAAACAGUUUCCUCCUGUUCCCUUCAUUUCCCUCCCCAGCUGUCCUCUGGGAAUAUGGCAGCCCAUGUCACCCCUCAAAGAGUAGCUAUUUUCUCCUCCAGAAGCUACAUGACACAGGAUUCCAACGGGAUCUUCCAGAAAGAAUGCAGGACCACACAUCAUCACCUGUAGAUGUAACUCACAGGCCAAAGGAGUGAGAAAAGUGUGCUUCCAGUCCCAAAACUCUGCCAUUGUCAUUGUCUGAAACUGACUUCAUCGGCCACACUCCUCUGACUUCAAAAAGAACUGUGAAGUGUGUGAUCGUAUGUGGACAGUACUGAACCCAUACAGAUCUAGACAUUCUACUAACAAAGGAUAGACUAGAUGCUUUAGAGUCACCAUGACGACCAUGGACUGUAGCACCAUGUGGAGGAAUAACCAUGGGAGGCACUUAUGUCAGGAGAGUUGGUAAGAGAUGGUGAUUUUUAUAUGGAGGAGUGCAGAGAUAAAGAAAAGUUGGGAUAACUUUUUUUUUUUUUUCUGAUUUCUGGCUCGGGCUGUUGUAAAUGGUGGUACCAAUGGUGAUACAUGCUUCAGGGGACUUUGGCAGUUCAUUGUUAGGCACGGUGAGUUUGAUGUCACUGUGAGAGACUACUCACAGGACUCCCUUAAACUGGCAUGGCAGCAACAAUGAAUAGAUACAAGUUGGCCAUGCAACAGUUCCUUGGUGUAUGAUUCGGUGUCCCGAAAAGUCAAAAGGACAACAACAAAAAAAAGUUAGUUAAUUAUAAUGUCAAUUAGCUAGUAUAGAAUGAAAUUCUGAGCAGCUCAGCGGAUGGAUUUCAUAAUAAGGAGCAUUGCUUAGCUCUCCACCCAUGCCUGUGUUUGUGUAUAUGGGUGGGAAACAAACCACACGCUGUCAUUCAACAAACUGCAAUUCCACUUGCCCCAGAGAACCUCAGGGACCAAUUUCACCAGGCAGAGUACACAAUCUGCUUCUGACUCACAACAUCGAAUUGUAUUUCUUUACUCGGUUAUAUACUCUCAUAUCCUGAAUACUACUCUCUCUUUCUAGAAUAUAGUAGUUUAAAUGCUUAUUUAAAAUAUAAAGUAUGUUGGCUAACUGAACAUAAUGAAAAAUUAAUAAAAAAUAAAACAAAAUAAUUAUAGAAAUACUAAUACUGCAAUUUUAGAAACAAUAACAAAAACAACAGUAAUAAUCCUUGUCCCUAUGUAACGACUAAGUGCUAAGCUCUGUUCUGCGUGUGCAUGUAUGUACCUGCGUAUGUGCAGGCAUCUGUGUUAUAUACUGUGUUGUCUCUUAGUCUAGAAAAAAACCUUUGAUAAAAAUUCAUUUGAUAAAAAAAUUGAUUUGAUAAAAAUUCAUUUCAGAUAAAAUUUCAUGUCUGAUUGAUGUGUUGUAUAAUAAGACAAUAUAAAAUAUUUCAAAGAUACUGUA
Long non-coding RNA from Mirounga angustirostris (Northern elephant seal), 1746 nucleotides. RefSeq lists it as uncharacterized. Lineage: Eukaryota; Metazoa; Chordata; Mammalia; Carnivora; Phocidae. The record is from RefSeq and is a predicted model, not a curated record. The transcript is spliced from 2 exons.